CCUACGGGAGGCAGCAGUGAGGAAUAUUGGUCAAUGGACGAGAGUCUGAACCAGCCAAGUAGCGUGAAGGAUGACUGCCCUAUGGUUUGUAAACUUCUUUUAUAUGGGAGUAAACUGUUCCACGUGUGGGAUUUUGUAUGUACCAUAUGAAUAAGGAUCGGCGAACUCCGUUCCAGCAGCCGCGGUAAUACGGAGGGUGCGAGCGUUAACUGGAAUUACUGGGCGUAAAGCGCUCGUAGGCGGUUUGUUAAGUUAAGGGUGAAAUCCCCGGGCUCAACGUGGGAGCUACCUUUGAAACUGGCAAACUGGAGUGUGUGAGAGGUUAGUGGAAUUCCAGGUGUAGGGGUGAAAUCCGUAGAUAUCUGGAGGAACAUCAGGGGCGAAGGCGACUAUCUGGCACAUAACUGACGCUGAGGAGCGAAAGCGUGGGUAGCAAACAGGAUUAGAUACCCGUGUAGUC
RNAcentral lists this ribosomal RNA (460 nucleotides) under uncultured bacterium. RNAcentral's name for it is "partial 16S ribosomal RNA". It matches the Rfam family "Bacterial small subunit ribosomal RNA", at positions 338 to 795 of the family's 1533-position model. The record is from RNAcentral.